CCCCAAAACCCUCUUUCCUUCCUCCCCGACACCGAUACUCUUUUCUCCUUCCCCCAAAUUCACCGACAACCGGCGAUUCUCCUCUCCUCCCCUCUCGGUGUCGCCGGUGCAGGGCAUUCACCAGAGUAGCUUCCGGAGGAGGGAAGCUACAACCCAUUCCUCUCUCUCUCGAUUUCUCUCUUGUGCGCGGAUGGCCCGAUGUCGAAGGAGAGCUCCCUCUGCCCGUGAUUCUGUCCGCGUCGAGUCGCCGGAGGAAGAGUUGCCGGACCUCGAUGGUACCAGCGUUGUCCAGAUCGUCUCCGGUUGAGCGAUCCUCUCUUCGGCCUUUUGUUGCGCGCAAUCGAAGGGAUCUGAUUCUAGGGCACAGCGAGGGACUUGAUCGCGUCGCCUCCCUAGCCGGUUGAUCUCCUUGUUCCUCCUCUGCGAUCUGGUCGCUGGAGAUUGACUCGUAUCUCCACACUAGCUGGAUUGGAUCGGGCAAUAUCACCUGGAGGUGAGCAAUUGAGAUAUGCUAGUUGGUGGAUUUCUCCUCUGCCGAGCUUUGCUUCUCCACUACUUGUAGCUAUUGAAGUCUCGGUGAAGAGACAGAUUUUAGAAGGAUUGAUGUAUGAAUGCUUCUUUGGUAGCUAUCAGCAGGGGUUCUUGUUGGCUGUGAGCUCUUGAUUGUGAUCAUACCUCAAGGACUUUAUUUCGAAGCGAGCGUCUCGACGUGGAAUUGGUUUGUUUGACACGGUCAACAGAUAAAGGCGGGUAUUUCUUCCUUAACCUCUUUAUAGUUUCUU
Molecule: long non-coding RNA, 782 nt
Organism: Zingiber officinale
Lineage: Eukaryota; Viridiplantae; Streptophyta; Magnoliopsida; Zingiberales; Zingiberaceae
Exons: 4
Source: RefSeq, a predicted model, not a curated record